GAUCCUUUAACUUACACAAAAUCCACAGGUUUAGAUUCAUCGUCACAUUUCAUUAGAUGCAGAGUAGCUUAUACAACAAAUACAUAUAUGCUAACAAAGAUCUGCCCAAAAUCUUCUAAACUUUCCACUGCCUCAGCCCAUUCUUAACAUUUAAGCAAGCGAUACGCUAUCCUGAAAAAUUUAUCAACAAACGGGGUGAGCAUAAAGAGCUCAGUAAGUGACUAACAUAUCCAUAUCAAAAUAGUACAAUUUCCAAAGGGAUACAGUUUCAAAAUACAAGGCAGAAUAUACGAUUUUCGUAGACAUAAUAUCAUUAGGAGCAGAAACACAAUUGUCUUUUUAAUCAUACAUAUUUGGUUCCUGACAGAUGGGGCAUAGAGUAAUUGGAGCAUAUCAAAAACAAAGGAAACAUAUCGGAGCUUAUCAAUGGCAUAUAAAAUGUUCCGAAACAUAUC
This 455-nucleotide long non-coding RNA is filed under the name Musa acuminata (dwarf banana). RNAcentral describes it as "long non-coding RNA (MACU_LNC010673)". The record is from RNAcentral. Lineage: Eukaryota; Viridiplantae; Streptophyta; Magnoliopsida; Zingiberales; Musaceae.